RNAcentral lists this long non-coding RNA (990 nucleotides) under Physcomitrium patens. Its description in RNAcentral is "long non-coding RNA (PPAT_LNC014505)". Lineage: Eukaryota; Viridiplantae; Streptophyta; Bryopsida; Funariales; Funariaceae. The record is from RNAcentral.
AUAAAUCUUAUAAGAAAUAGGAUUGAAGAAGGAUUUUGGUAGCAAAGGAAGUAAUUAGGGCACCAAUAUAGAUGAAUGGAGAUGAAUGAUGGAAAUCUCCAUUCUUAUUGGUCAAAUAUCAUGACCAAUAGGCUUUGAGGAGGCUGCCUGAGGCCAUAUUAGGGAUUAGGGUUAGCUUUAUGGGGCCAUUCGAGUUUUGAAGGAUGAGAUCAGCAAGUUUAGAUUUUUGGCUAUGGUUUUGGUGAAAUUUUUGUAUGGUUUGGAGUUUAUAUGAAGGAGAUACAAGCGUUCAAAGUUAAGAUGUUGAUUUGGAAGCUAAUGUCACUCUUUUUGGCAUAACACAUGCGUAUAGAGGGCAAUUGAAGAUCGGUGACUGCGACUAGAGACAACACUUUUGCGGCUAUACUUUUUGUAUACUUUUUGCUGGAUUCGAAGUUGGGAUAAAGGAGUUAUUGGAUUUUGAAGUUAGCACAUGCAGUCUAAGGGUAGUAAGUAAUCCGAUUUACUAGUGGUUGUGUCUUGAGCUAUAUCUUGAGCAAUUUGAUAAGGUUUUGGCUCAAAAUUUCAAGAAAUGUAAAAUUUCAUGUAAAUAAACUUUGUGCAUAAGUUUUAUGACAUUUAAGUAUUAGGUUCUUGAGAUAUUAAGAAAAUAGUGUUUAGGUGCUUGUAAAUUAGGGUUUAAAGUGUCUGCUAGGAUUUCUUAGGUACCAGAAGAUCGGGAGUGAAUUUGCCAUUAGUUUUUUUUUGUGAUAUAUGUUAAGGGUGAAUUCUACAUAUCCUAUAAAUAUGAGACAAAUUAAACGGUUAGAUCAAGAGUUAUGAAUUUCUAAAGUUUUGGAAAAGAAAACUCUUUGCGGAAAAAAUAUGUUUUGAAGAGAUUUUGUUAUAUUUUGAGUUUUAUGCAAAAUAAAGGAGUUUUGGUAGGCUAACACAAGAUUCAUAUAAAGGUUUAAGCUACACUCUCUAUAGCUAGAUAUCCAGUGUAUUCCC